Molecule: ribosomal RNA, 945 nt
Filed under: Mycoplasmopsis arginini
Lineage: Bacteria; Bacillati; Mycoplasmatota; Mycoplasmoidales; Metamycoplasmataceae
Description: bacterial SSU rRNA
Rfam family: Bacterial small subunit ribosomal RNA
Source: RNAcentral
AAUGGGUGAGUAACACGUGCUUAAUCUACCCUUUAGAUUGGAAUACCCAAUGGAAACAUUGGCUAAUGCCGGAUACGCAUGGAAUCGCAUGAUUCCGUUGUGAAAGGAGCCUUUAAAGCUCCGCUAGAGGAUGAGGGUGCGGAACAUUAGUUAGUUGGUAGGGUAAUGGCCUACCAAGACUAUGAUGUUUAGCCGGGUCGAGAGACUGAACGGCCACAUUGGGACUGAGAUACGGCCCAAACUCCUACGGGAGGCAGCAGUAGGGAAUAUUCCACAAUGAGCGAAAGCUUGAUGGAGCGACACAGCGUGCACGAUGAAGGUCUUCGGAUUGUAAAGUGCUGUUAUAGGGAAAGAACACCUGGUUGAGGAAAUGCUUCCAGGCUGACGGUACCCUGUCAGAAAGCGAUGGCUAACUAUGUGCCAGCAGCCGCGGUAAUACAUAGGUCGCAAGCGUUAUCCGGAAUUAUUGGGCGUAAAGCGUUCGUAGGCUGUUUAUUAAGUCUGGAGUCAAAUCCCAGGGCUCAACCCUGGCUCGCUUUGGAUACUGGUAAACUAGAGUUAGAUAGAGGUAAGCGGAAUUCCAUGUGAAGCGGUGAAAUGCGUAGAUAUAUGGAAGAACACCAAAGGCGAAGGCAGCUUACUGGGUCUAUACUGACGCUGAGGGACGAAAGCGUGGGGAGCAAACAGGAUUAGAUACCCUGGUAGUCCACGCCGUAAACGAUGAUCAUUAGUCGGUGGAGAGUUCACUGACGCAGCUAACGCAUUAAAUGAUCCGCCUGAGUAGUAUGCUCGCAAGAGUGAAACUUAAAGGAAUUGACGGGGACCCGCACAAGCGGUGGAGCAUGUGGUUUAAUUUGAAGAUACGCGGAGAACCUUACCCACUCUUGACAUCCUUCGCAAUGCUAUAGAGAUAUAGCGGAGGUUAACGGAGUGACAGAUGGUGCA